CCUACGGGAGGCAGCAGUGGGGGAUUUUGGACAAUGGGGGCAACCCUGAUCCAGCCAUGCCGCGUGAGUGAAGAAGGCCUUCGGGUUGUAAAGCUCUUUCGGCCGGGAAGAAAUCGCAUAGGCUAAUACCCUGUGUGGAUGACGGUACCGGAAUAAGAAGCACCGGCUAACUACGUGCCAGCAGCCGCGGUAAUACGUAGGGUGCGAGCGUUAAUCGGAAUUACUGGGCGUAAAGCGUGCGCAGGCGGUUUCGUAAGACAGAGGUGAAAUCCCCGGGCUCAACCUGGGAACUGCCUUUGUGACUGCGAGGCUAGAGUACGGCAGAGGGGGGUGGAAUUCCACGUGUAGCAGUGAAAUGCGUAGAGAUGUGGAGGAACACCGAUGGCGAAGGCAGCCCCCUGGGCCGAUACUGACGCUCAUGCACGAAAGCGUGGGUAGCAAACAGGAUUAGAUACCCUGGUAGUCCACGCCCUAAACGAUGUCAACUAGGUGUUGGGUAGGUAAACCUAUUUAGUACCGUAGCUAACGCGUGAAGUUGACCGCCGUGGGAGACGGCCGCGAGUAAACGUACGAAGGAAGUAGUUAGCGUGAGAGUGCGAGGCGACGACGAGGGAGGAGG
This 619-nucleotide ribosomal RNA is filed under the name uncultured bacterium. Its description in RNAcentral is "bacterial SSU rRNA". The stretch from base 1 to 544 matches the Rfam family "Bacterial small subunit ribosomal RNA", at positions 338 to 873 of the family's 1533-position model. The record is from RNAcentral.